Molecule: ribosomal RNA, 466 nt
Filed under: uncultured bacterium
Lineage: Bacteria
Description: bacterial SSU rRNA
Rfam family: Bacterial small subunit ribosomal RNA
Source: RNAcentral
GAUGAACGCUAGCGGCAGGCCUAAUACAUGCAAGUCAAGGGGCCAGUAAUGGCACCGGCGGACGGGUGCGUAACGCGUACACAACGUACCUUUGGGUGGGGGAUAGCAUCGGGAAACUGGUGGUAAUACCCCAUGGUAUUGGAGACUGGCAUCAGUUUUCAAUUAAAGACUACGCCCAAAGAUCGGUGUGCGUCUGAUUAGCUAGUUGGUAGGGUAACGGCCUACCAAGGCGACGAUCAGUAGGGGAUGUGAAAGGAAGGUCCCCCACACUGGUACUGAGAUACGGACCAGACUCCUACGGGAGGCAGCAGUAGGGAAUAUUGGUCAAUGGGCGCAAGCCUGAACCAGCCAUGCCGCGUGCAGGAAGAAUGCCCCUCUGGGUUGUAAACUGCUUUUGACAGGGAAGAAAUCACUUAUGCGUAAGUGUCUGACGGUACCUGUAGAAUAAGCACCGGCUAACUCCGUG